UGCAAGUCGAGCGCGAAAGCGGCUUCGGCCGUUAGUAGAGCGGCGGACGGGUGAGGAACACGUGGGUAACCUAUCCUCGGGUGGGGAACAACCCAGGGUAACCUGGGCUAAUUCCGCAUAACAUCCUUAGCUCACAAGAGUUUUGGAUCAAAGCUGGGGACCCUUCGGGGCCUGGCGCCAGAGGAGGGGCCCGCGGCCGAUUGGCUUGUUGGUGAGGUAACGGCUCACCAAGGCUCCGAUCGGUAGCCGGCCUAAGAGGGCGGACGGCCACACUGGGACUGAGAUACGGCCCAGACUCCUACGGGAGGCAGCAGUGGGGAAUUUUUGUCAAUGGGGGAAACCCUGAACAAGCAACGCCGCGUGGAGGACGAAGACCUUCGGGUCGUAAACUCCUGUCGGAGGGGACGAAACCGAUUAUGGUUAAUACCCGUAGUCAUUGACGGUACCCUUAGAGGAAGCCCCGGCUAACUCCGUGCCAGCAGCCGCGGUAAUACGGGGGGGGCAAGCGUUGUUCGGAAUUACUGGGCGUAAAGGGCGUGUAGGCGGUCCUGCAAGUCUUUCGUGAAAUCCCACAGCUCAACUGUGGAACUGCGAGGGAAACUGCAGGACUUGAGUCCGGGAGAGGAGAGCGGAAUUCCCAGUGUAGCGGUGA
Molecule: ribosomal RNA, 652 nt
Filed under: uncultured bacterium
Lineage: Bacteria
Description: bacterial SSU rRNA
Rfam family: Bacterial small subunit ribosomal RNA
Source: RNAcentral